This 425-nucleotide ribosomal RNA is filed under the name uncultured bacterium. RNAcentral's name for it is "partial 16S ribosomal RNA". It matches the Rfam family "Bacterial small subunit ribosomal RNA", at positions 354 to 796 of the family's 1533-position model. The record is from RNAcentral.
GUGGGGAAUCUUGCGCAAUGGGCGAAAGCCUGUCGCAGCCAUGCCGCGUGAAUGAUGAAGGUCUUAGGAUUGUAAAAUUCUUUCACCGGGGACGAUAAUGACGGUACCCGGAGAAGAAGCCCCGGCUAACUUCGUGCCAGCAGCCGCGGUAAUACGAAGGGGGCUAGCGUUGCUCGGAAUUACUGGGCGUAAAGGGCGCGUAGGCGGACAGUUUAGUCAGAGGUGAAAGCCCAGGGCUCAACCUUGGAAUUGCCUUUGAUACUGGCUGUCUUGAGUACGGGAGAGGUGAGUGGAACUCCGAGUGUAGAGGUGAAAUUCGUAGAUAUUCGGAAGAACACCAGUGGCGAAGGCGACUCACUGGCCCGUUACUGACGCUGAGGCGCGAAAGCGUGGGGAGCAAACAGGAUUAGAAACCCUGGUAGUCC